This 429-nucleotide ribosomal RNA is filed under the name Bacteroidota bacterium. RNAcentral's name for it is "Bacteroidetes bacterium partial 16S ribosomal RNA". It matches the Rfam family "Bacterial small subunit ribosomal RNA", at positions 355 to 776 of the family's 1533-position model. Lineage: Bacteria; Pseudomonadati; Bacteroidota. The record is from RNAcentral.
UAGGGAAUCUUCCGCAAUGGACGCAAGUCUGACGGAGCAACGCCGUGUGAGUGAAGAAGGAUUUCGGUUCGUAAAACUCUGUUGUUAGAGAAGAACAGCGCAUAGAGUAACUGUUAUGCGUGUGACGGUAUCUAACCAGAAAGCCACGGCUAACUACGUGCCAGCAGCCGCGGUAAUACGUAGGUGGCAAGCGUUGUCCGGAUUUAUUGGGCGUAAAGCGAGCGCAGGCGGUCAAUUAAGUCUGAUGUGAAAGCCCCCGGCUCAACCGGGGAGGGUCAUUGGAAACUGGUUGACUUGAGUGCAGAAGAGGAGAGUGGAAUUCCAUGUGUAGCGGUGAAAUGCGUAGAUAUAUGGAGGAACACCAGUGGCGAAGGCGACUCUCUGGUCUGUAACUGACGCUGAGGCUCGAAAGCGUGGGUAGCAAACAGG